UAAGACGGAGGAGGGAAGCGUUGUUCGGAAUUACUGGGUGUAAGGGGCGCGUAGGUGUGCUGGCAAGUCCUCUGUGAAAGCCCUCUUCUCAAGGGAGGAAGAGCAGUGGAAACUGUCAGCAUUGAGUGUAGGAGAGGAGAGCGGAACUCCCGGUGUAGCGGUGAAAUGCGUAGAUAUCGGGAGGAACACCGGUGGCGAAGGCGGCUCUCUAGCCUGAUACUGACACUGAGGCGCGAAAGCCAGGGGAGCGAAUGGGAUUAGAUACCCCAGUAGUCCUGGCCGUAAACGAUGGGCAUUAGGUGUAGGGGGUUUAUACCUUCUGUGCCGUAGUUAACACGUUAAAUGCCCCACCUGGGGAGUACGGUCGCAAGACUG
RNAcentral lists this ribosomal RNA (375 nucleotides) under uncultured Acidobacteriota bacterium. RNAcentral's name for it is "bacterial SSU rRNA". It matches the Rfam family "Bacterial small subunit ribosomal RNA", at positions 521 to 896 of the family's 1533-position model. Lineage: Bacteria; Pseudomonadati; Acidobacteriota. The record is from RNAcentral.